UAAAAAACGUUGAGUAGAAGAGUAGGUUAAUGUAUCCUUCAGAGAGUUUGUGGUUAGUGCGAGCAAACGGUUAUAUUAAACGAAACACAUCUGCGAGUGUGUGAUUGAAUUGAGUAGGUCAUAUCGGGAAUGCCCGUUACCGCAUACAGUCUUUUGACUGACUGAGAUGUAACUAGUGAUAGUUAUAUAAUCAAGAGGUGGCACCGCGGAAAAACGCCCUCUAA
Molecule: non-coding RNA, 224 nt
Filed under: Leuconostoc carnosum
Lineage: Bacteria; Bacillati; Bacillota; Bacilli; Lactobacillales; Lactobacillaceae
Description: T-box
Rfam family: T-box leader
About the family: Uncharged tRNA acts as the effector for transcription antitermination of genes in the T-box leader family. T-boxes are found upstream of many aminoacyl-tRNA synthetase genes and some amino acid biosynthetic genes usually in Gram-positive bacteria.
Source: RNAcentral